AUCCGGUGGAACGCGGUAAACCCCUCGAGCGAGCAACCCAAACAAUGGUAGGGGCGCUUUUUGUCUGGAAGAAGAACAGGACAAAAAGGCAGUAUAACUGCAGAUAGAUGGUUACCGCUUUGUUUUUUCUCCCUGGAAAAGCAAAGUACAGAACAUGGCUUAUAGAA
This 167-nucleotide RNase P RNA is filed under the name Enterococcus faecium. RNAcentral's name for it is "partial RNase P RNA component class B". It matches the Rfam family "Bacterial RNase P class B", at positions 203 to 365 of the family's 365-position model. Rfam says of the family: Ribonuclease P (RNase P) is a ubiquitous endoribonuclease, found in archaea, bacteria and eukarya as well as chloroplasts and mitochondria. Its best characterised activity is the generation of mature 5'-ends of tRNAs by cleaving the 5'-leader elements of precursor-tRNAs. Cellular RNase Ps are ribonucleoproteins. The record is from RNAcentral. Lineage: Bacteria; Bacillati; Bacillota; Bacilli; Lactobacillales; Enterococcaceae.